RNAcentral lists this ribosomal RNA (434 nucleotides) under uncultured bacterium. Its description in RNAcentral is "partial 16S ribosomal RNA". It matches the Rfam family "Bacterial small subunit ribosomal RNA", at positions 29 to 507 of the family's 1533-position model. The record is from RNAcentral.
GCGCACGCUGGCGGCAGGCUUCACACAUGCCAGUCGAGCGGGCACUUUCGGGUGUCAGCGGCGGACGGGUGAGUAACGCGUGGGAACGUGCCCUCUGGUUCGGAAUAACUCAGGGAAACUUGAGCUAAUACCGGAUACGCCCUUUUGGGGAAAGGCUUGCUGCCGGAGGAUCGGCCCGCGUCUGAUUAGCUAGUUGGUGAGGUAACGGCUCACCAAGGCGACGAUCAGUAGCUGGUCUGAGAGGAUGAUCAGCCACACUGGGACUGAGACACGGCCCAGACUCCUACGGGAGGCAGCAGUGGGGAAUAUUGGACAAUGGGCGCAAGCCUGAUCCAGCCAUGCCGCGUGAGUGAUGAAGGCCUUAGGGUUGUAAAGCUCUUUUAUCCGGGACGAUAAUGACGGUACCGGAGGAAUAAGCCCCGGCUAACUUCGUG